CCUACGGGAGGCAGCAGUGGGGAAUCUUAGACAAUGGGCGCAAGCCUGAUCUAGCCAUGCCGCGUGAGCGAUGAAGGCCUUAGGGUUGUAAAGCUCUUUCGUGGGGGAAGAUAAUGACGGUACCCCAAGAAGAAGCCCCGGCUAACUCCGUGCCAGCAGCCGCGGUAAUACGGAGGGGGCUANCGUUAUUCGGAAUUACUGGGCGUAAAGCGCACGUAGGCGGAUUGGAAAGUCAGAGGUGAAAUCCCCAGGGGCUCAACCUUGGGAACUGCCUUUGAAAACUCCCCAGUCUUGAGGUCGAGAGAGGUGAGUGGAAUUCCCGAGUGUAGAGGUGAAAUUCGUAGAUAUUCCGGAGGAACACCAGUGGCGAAGGCGGCUC
Molecule: ribosomal RNA, 379 nt
Filed under: uncultured bacterium
Lineage: Bacteria
Description: bacterial SSU rRNA
Rfam family: Bacterial small subunit ribosomal RNA
Source: RNAcentral